UUGCUUCGGCAAUUUCGCAUCCCUUAUUUUCUGUUUAAUCGACUUUUGAUUGAGCAGCCGCGAAACUUUAUGUUUUCCUUUUUGCAAAACUUUCCGGUAAAAUCUUAGUCACCGGAAAAUGUUCCUAUCUCAUUCUCCCCAACCAACUUAUUAUUCUUCCGUUAAUUUCUCACCUCGCUCUUCUCCGAAACCACCUUCGUACUCCGUCGCCUUUUACAACCCUUCCACAACCUCCGCCGCCGGAGCUAAAACCUCGAACAAUCAUCUAAUCCAAUCCUUGUGCAAAGAGGGCAACUUAAAACAGGCGCUUCGCCUCUUGUCUCACGAACCAAGCCCGAGUCAACAGACUUACGAGCUUCUCAUUCUCUGCUGCGGUCGCCGCCGAAGUUCCCUCUCCGACGCUCUACGAGUUCAUCGCCACAUUCUCGAUAAUGGGUCUGAUCAAGAUCCCUUUUUGGCGACGAAGCUUAUCGGUAUGUAUUCGGAUUUGGGCUCAGUCGAUUACGCACGCAAGGUGUUCGAUAAAACGCGUAAGAGAACUAUUUACGUGUGGAACGCUUUGUUCCGAGCUCUUUCUUUAGCGGGUCAUGGAGAAGAAGUGUUGGGUUUGUACUGGAAGAUGAAUAGGAUCGGGGUGGAGUCUGAUAGGUUCACUUACACUUACGUUCUCAAGGCUUGCGUCACAUCGGAAUGCACGGAGGAUCAUCUAGCGAAAGGGAAAGAGAUUCACGCACAUCUUACCCGACGGGGGUACAAUUCGCAUGUUUACAUCAUGACUACAUUGUUGGACAUGUAUGCACGAUUUGGCUGUGUGGAUUACGCUAGCAAUGUGUUUGAUGGGAUGCCUGUUAGAAAUGUGGUUUCUUGGAGCGCGAUGAUCGCUUGCUAUGCGAAGAACGGCAAGGCUUUUGAAGCUCUGAGGACUUUCAGUGAAAUGAUGACAGAGACCAAAGAUUCAUCCCCGAAUUCUGUGACUAUGGUGAGCGUGCUGCAAGCUUGUGCUUCCCUUGCGGCGUUAGAGCAAGGGAGAUUGAUUCAUGGGUACAUACUCAGGCGUGGGCUUGACUCCAUAUUGCCUGUCAUCAGUGCGCUUGUGACAAUGUAUGGUAGAUGCGGUAGGCUCGAGGUGGGACAGAGGGUAUUUGAUCGGAUGCGUGAGCGUGAUGUUGUGUCUUGGAACUCCUUGAUAUCAAGCUAUGGCGUUCAUGGAUAUGGAAGGAAAGCAAUUCAAAUAUUCGAAGAGAUGCUCGCCAAUGGGGCUUCCCCAACCCCUGUAACAUUUGUGAGCGUUUUGGGAGCUUGCAGCCACGAGGGACUUGUUGAGGAGGGAAAAAGGCUGUUUGAGUCGAUGUGGACAGACCAUGGGAUAAAACCACAAGUCGAGCAUUAUGCUUGUAUGGUUGAUCUGUUAGGUCGGGCGAAUAGGUUAGAGGAGGCAGCAAAGAUGGUACAAGACAUGAGGACUGAACCAGGGCCUAAGGUCUGGGGUUCCCUUCUUGGAUCUUGUAGAAUUCACGGUAACGUUGAGCUGGCAGAGCGUGCGAGUAGAAGGCUUUUUUCUCUUGAGCCGAAAAAUGCAGGGAACUAUGUGCUGUUGGCAGACAUUUACGCAGAAGCUCAGAUGUGGGAUAAGGUUAAGAAAGUGAAGAAGCUUCUAGAAUACAGAGGACUGCAGAAGCUGCCUGGUCGGUGCUGGAUGGAAGUGAGGAGGAAAAUGUACUCGUUUGUCUCGGUGGAUGAGUUCAAUCCUCUAAUGGAACAGAUUCAUGCUCUCUUGGUUAAGUUAGCAGAAGAUAUGAAGGAGAAAGGGUACAUACCGCAGACCAAAGGCGUGUUGUAUGAUCUUGAGACGGAAGAGAAAGAGCGGAUAGUGUUGGGACACAGUGAGAAACUGGCGUUGGCGUUUGGGCUGAUAAAUACAGCGAAAGGAGAACCGAUAAGGAUCACCAAGAACUUGCGUUUGUGUGAGGACUGUCACUUGUUUACAAAGUUCAUCUCAAAGUUUAUGGAAAAGGAGAUUUUGGUAAGAGAUGUGAACCGGUUUCAUCGGUUUAAGAAUGGUGUUUGUUCUUGUGGAGAUUACUGGUAACACUUAGGGGUUUAUACGUUUGCUUGUGAAUAAUGAGCAAGGGAGAGAUGUCCACUUGAGCUCCCUCUUGGACCUAAUCAGGCCAAAGAAAUGACAAGCAGACACUCUUUCUUGUGUAGCUGCGGCUGUUUAGUCUUCAGUUCUCUGUUCAGCGGCUGCUUUCUUGCGUCGCAAGUUUCUUGACUCUGCCCUUUCACCUUAACCGGAGCAACCUACAGGGCUACAAUUUAGACAUUUCAGAAGCGUUCUGAACCGCGGUUAAGAUCCGAGAGCCCAGCAACCUACAGGGCUACAAUUUAGACAUUUCAGAAGCGUUCUGAACCGCGGUUAAGACCCGAGAGCCCAGUUUAUCGUAGGAGCUUCCCCAGCUGGUAUCUCUAGCCUUGUUAAAUAAGUUCCCACGCCCUGCACAUUGUCAGAUAAGCUAGCAGCUUUUGAAUUUGCCUCUCUAGCUAUUUAUCUGCUGGUGCUGCAUCUCAGGAUUUCUCAGCUUGGACUUUGGCUUCUUCCUCAGCUCUAGCCCUUGUGAUCCCAUCUGCGAGCACUUCCUCAUCCCAUAUUCGAGGAUUACAUAACACUAUCGUGGAUGAUAUUUCAUCAAAAAGAGUUCAGAUAAAUAAACAUUGACUUAAGCUAUAAACUCUCCAUGGAGAACGCGUUUAAGAUCACUACAACUUUACUAACAAUACAAUUUCUAAAUCAACAAGAGCAGU
Raphanus sativus (radish) is the source of this 2802-nucleotide RNA transcript. It is a transcript of the gene named pentatricopeptide repeat-containing protein CRR2, chloroplastic, with no coding region annotated. The transcript is spliced from 2 exons. The record is from RefSeq and is a predicted model, not a curated record. NCBI's taxonomy places the organism in Eukaryota, Viridiplantae, Streptophyta, Magnoliopsida, Brassicales, Brassicaceae.